CAGUAGCCACGGGAAUACGAAGGGGGCUAGCGUUGCUCGGAAUGACUGGGCGUAAAGGGCGCGUAGGCGGCGAUCAAAGUCAGGCGUGAAAUUCCUGGGCUCAACCUGGGAGCUGCGCUUGAUACUUGGUUGCUUGAGUGGGGAAGAGGGUCGUGGAAUUCCCAGUGUAGAGGUGAAAUUCGUAGAUAUUGGGAAGAACACCGGUGGCGAAGGCGGCGACCUGGUCCUUGACUGACGCUGAGGCGCGAAAGCGUGGGGAGCAAACAGGAUUAGAUACCCCCGUAGUCCCUGUCUCUUAUAC
RNAcentral lists this ribosomal RNA (301 nucleotides) under uncultured bacterium. RNAcentral describes it as "partial 16S ribosomal RNA". It matches the Rfam family "Bacterial small subunit ribosomal RNA", at positions 509 to 807 of the family's 1533-position model. The record is from RNAcentral.